Zea mays is the source of this 432-nucleotide long non-coding RNA. RefSeq lists it as uncharacterized. The record is from RefSeq and is a predicted model, not a curated record. Lineage: Eukaryota; Viridiplantae; Streptophyta; Magnoliopsida; Poales; Poaceae. The transcript is spliced from 3 exons.
CCGCACGCCGCUCCCCCAGCAGCGUCGACUUCCAUCCAUGGCUGCCCGCGCGCCCGGCUCCCCCUUUCCUUGCGCGACGCGAGAUGGAUCGGCGAGAUUGCCCACAAAUCGCAUCCAUGGCAGCUUAGUUCUCCCAAAUCCGCCGCGAAUCGCAUCUGCCAACGAGGAUUGGCGCCGCCAUGUCGUAGAUCUCCCACGUCGGUGGCCGACUUUGUCAUGCCUUUCUUCCUCUUCAUCGUCGGAGUCGCCUUGGCGCUCGCGUACAAGAGAGUCCCGGACAAGUUGGACGCCUCGAGAAAGGCAUUGCUCCGUGCGCUGACGCUGUUUUGUCUUGGUCUUGGUCUUGUUCUACAAGGUGGAUUCUUUCAUGGUGUUCGUAGUCUAAGUUUUGGGGUUGACCUUCGAGAAAUACGGCUGAUGGGUGUACUGCAG